GAUCUUGGCUCAGGACGAACGCUGGCGGCGCGCCUAACACAUGCAAGUCGAACGGGGUUAUACGGGAUGAAGUUUUCGGAUGGAAUUCUAUAUAACCUAGUGGCGGACGGGUGAGUAACACGUGAGCAACCUGCCUAUCAGAGGGGGAUAACGAUUGGAAACGAUCGCUAAUACAGCAUGACAUAGCGGGAAGCAUCUUCCUGCUAUCAAAGAUUUANCGCUG
RNAcentral lists this ribosomal RNA (223 nucleotides) under uncultured bacterium. RNAcentral describes it as "partial 16S ribosomal RNA". It matches the Rfam family "Bacterial small subunit ribosomal RNA", at positions 15 to 220 of the family's 1533-position model. The record is from RNAcentral.